Molecule: ribosomal RNA, 603 nt
Filed under: uncultured bacterium
Lineage: Bacteria
Description: bacterial SSU rRNA
Rfam family: Bacterial small subunit ribosomal RNA
Source: RNAcentral
CCUACGGGAGGCAGCAGUGGGGAAUAUUGGACAAUGGGCGAAAGCCUGAUCCAGCAAUGCCGCGUGAGUGAUGAAGGCCUUAGGGUUGUAAAGCUCUUUUACCAGGGAUGAUAAUGACAGUACCUGGAGAAUAAGCUCCGGCUAACUCCGUGCCAGCAGCCGCGGUAAUACGGAGGGAGCUAGCGUUGUUCGGAAUUACUGGGCGUAAAGCGUACGUAGGCGGUUAUUCAAGUCAGAGGUGAAAGCCUGGAGCUCAACUCCAGAACUGCCUUUGAAACUAGAUAGCUAGAAUCUUGGAGAGGUGAGUGGAAUUCCGAGUGUAGAGGUGAAAUUCGUAGAUAUUCGGAAGAACACCAGUGGCGAAGGCGACUCGCUGGACAAGUAUUGACGCUGAGGUACGAAAGCGUGGGGAGCAAACAGGAUUAGAUACCCUGGUAGUCCACGCCGUAAACGAUGAUAACUAGCUGUUCGGGCUCUACGAGCUUGAGUGGNGCNGCUACGCAUUAAGUUAGUCCGUCCGUCGGGAGGUACGGUCGCGAGAGUUAAACUACGAAAGAAGUUAGUAGCGUUGAGACGNGCGACGGACGACGACGAGGGAGGAGG